This 505-nucleotide ribosomal RNA is filed under the name uncultured bacterium. RNAcentral describes it as "bacterial SSU rRNA". It matches the Rfam family "Bacterial small subunit ribosomal RNA", at positions 343 to 862 of the family's 1533-position model. The record is from RNAcentral.
GGGAGGCAGCAGUGGGAAUUUUCCGCAAUGGCGAAAGCCUGACGGAGCAAUCUCGCGUGAGGGAUGACGGCCUAUGGGUUGUAAACCUCUUUUUUCAGGGAGGAACCAAAUGACGUGUACCUGAAGAAUAAGCAUCGGCUAACUCCGUGCCAGCAGCCGCGGUAAGACGGAGGAUGCAAGUGUUAUCCGGAAUCACUGGGCGUAAAGCGUCUGUAGGUGGUUUGAUAAGUCAACUGUUAAAUCUUGAAGCUCAACUUCAAAAUCGCAGUCGAAACUAUUAGACUAGAGUAUAGUAGGGGUAAAGGGAAUUUCCAGUGGAGCGGUGAAAUGCGUAGAUAUUGGAAAGAACACCGAUGGCGAAGGCACUUUACUGGGCUAUUACUGACACUCAGAGACGAAAGCUAGGGUAGCAAAUGGGAUUAGAUACCCCAGUAGUCCUAGCCGUAAACNAUGGAUACUAGAUGUUGNACAGAUCGACCUGUGCAGUANUNAAGCUNACGCGUUA